Long non-coding RNA from Drosophila persimilis, 208 nucleotides. RefSeq lists it as uncharacterized. The record is from RefSeq and is a predicted model, not a curated record. Lineage: Eukaryota; Metazoa; Arthropoda; Insecta; Diptera; Drosophilidae. The transcript has 3 exons.
UCCAUCGGACGAAAUCGGAAAUUGUUGCGAGUGACAACUCAAUGUAAGUGCUGGCUGGCCGAAGAUCUUGCAUGCAUGCAGCUUUCCUCCAAAAGACUAAGGACUCCCAUUCAUUUGGAGCAGGAGCUGGGACUCGAAAAGCAAAUCCAGCAGCAGUCUGCGGCCCAAGAUAACGAGGUGGCUGGAUACAAAGGAAACAAAACUGCAC